AUGUGUCAGCAGGCAAAGGC
This 20-nucleotide non-coding RNA is filed under the name Mus musculus (house mouse). Lineage: Eukaryota; Metazoa; Chordata; Mammalia; Rodentia; Muridae. RNAcentral also lists the same sequence under 1 other name. The record is from RNAcentral.